CCUACGGGAGGCAGCAGUGAGGAAUAUUGGUCAAUGGACGAGAGUCUGAACCAGCCAAGUAGCGUGAAGGAUGACUGCCCUAUGGGUUGUAAACUUCUUUUAUAUGGGAAUAAAAUGUUCCACGUGUGGGAUUUUGUAUGUACCAUAUGAAUCCGGAUCGGCUAACUCCGUGCCAGCAGCCGCGGUAAUACGGAGGAUCCGAGCGUUAUCCGGAUUUAUUGGGUUUAAAGGGAGCGUAGGUGGAUUGUUAAGUCAGUUGUGAAAGUUUGCGGCUCAACCGUAAAAUUGCAGUUGAAACUGGCAGUCUUGAGUACAGUAGAGGUGGGCGGAAGUCGAGGUGUAGCGGUGAAAUGCGUAGAUAUCACGAAGAACUCCGAUUGCGAAGGCAGUUCACUGGACUGCAACUGACACUGAGGCUCGAAAGUGUGGGUAUCAAACAGGAUUAGAUACCCGGGUAGUC
This 460-nucleotide ribosomal RNA is filed under the name uncultured bacterium. RNAcentral's name for it is "partial 16S ribosomal RNA". It matches the Rfam family "Bacterial small subunit ribosomal RNA", at positions 338 to 795 of the family's 1533-position model. The record is from RNAcentral.